Mustela lutreola (European mink) is the source of this 145-nucleotide small nucleolar RNA. RefSeq annotates it as small nucleolar RNA SNORA15. The record is from RefSeq and is a predicted model, not a curated record. NCBI's taxonomy places the organism in Eukaryota, Metazoa, Chordata, Mammalia, Carnivora, Mustelidae. The transcript has a single exon.
GCAUGGCUGAGUACUGUGUUCUUUUUAUCAGUUGUUUACAUAGCCAGACAUCAUGGGAAAAAAAAACAAAAAACAUUCUUUAAAGUGGUUAUGAUGGAUUGCUAAGUUUUUUCAUAGCAUAUCGUCAUUAAAGGGAAAUAGAAAU